AAAUGAAUAGACGGGGGCCCGCACAAGCAGUGGAGUAUGUGGUUUAAUUCGAAGCAACGCGAAGAACCUUACCAGGGCUUGACAUCCUCUGAACGGUGUAGAGAUACACUUUCCCUUCGGGGCAGAGAGACAGGUGGUGCAUGGUUGUCGUCAGCUCGUGUCGUGAGAUGUUCGGUUAAGUCCGGCAACGAGCGCAACCCCUAUUGUUAGUUGCCAUCAUUCAGUUGGGCACUCUAGCGAGACUGCCGUUGACAAAACGGAGGAAGGUGGGGACGACGUCAAAUCAUCAUGCCCCUUAUGUCCUGGGCUACACACGUACUACAAUGGUAACAACAGCGAGAAGCCAGACCGCGAGGUUGAGCGGAUCUUGAAAUGUUAUCUCAGUUCAGAUUGCAGGCUGCAACUCGCCUGCAUGAAGUAGGAAUUGCUAGUAAUGGCAGGUCAGCAUACUGCCGUGAAUACGUUCCCGGGCCUUGUACACACCGCCCGU
Molecule: ribosomal RNA, 490 nt
Filed under: uncultured bacterium
Lineage: Bacteria
Description: bacterial SSU rRNA
Rfam family: Bacterial small subunit ribosomal RNA
Source: RNAcentral